AUAUAUGCAUAUGAACGAAAGAUUUAAUAUUCAGCAUAUUAGUAAGAACGUUACUUUGCUCUGAUACCAACUUUAAAAUAACAUGAUGACGGAUUACUUGCUCUCAUACCAAAUUUAAAGACAUGACGGAAUUAAUAAAGAUUAAGAGAAGAUUAUACCUGAAUGAUGCGGUGGAUUAUAUUGAUGAUGGAUUAUGUUGAAUAAUUAGAUGGUUAUGUGGAUAAUUUGGAUAGAACUCUACUAUUUGAAAAUAGAAAAACUAUUUCAACAGAGAAGAAAGUUGAGAUCAACUCAAGUCUUAAACACUCAAACUUAACUUGUUUAUUUCAUAUGGGCAAAGGCCCUGUUUAUAGGCUCAAGAGAGUCGGUUACAAUUAUUGUUGCAAUCGUCUGAUUGCAAUACAACAUACAUAUUUACAUUGUAACCCCCUAGACUAUUGAGGGUUACACACUUUAAGUUUGGCAAGUACAAUUACAUCGAUUUCACCCAUACCUCAAGUAUAUCAAAAGUGCCAACAACCAUAUAGCAGACACGGUAACAAGUGAAUGGAAGCCAUCAUAAAGCAAGCUAGAUAAGAAGCAACACUAUUCAUGGAAGACUAACACAAGAAUUAAAAAAUAUCAGCUUUUUCGGAGGCGGGAGGAAUGACGCAAGCAAUGACAUAAAAAGCCAUUAUUGAAGAUUAACGAGAGGAAUAAUGUAAGCAAUGAUGUAAAAAGCCAUUAUUGAAGACACCUAAUGAUGUAAGCAAUGACAUAAAAAGCCAUUAUUGAAGACACCUGUCUUUUCAAUGUGGAAGGGAUUAUUAUAUUUUUAAUUAUGUAAAGUGUUGGUAGAAUUAUUUGUAUUUGUCGGUAGGAUAAUUAUUAAGUGUAUGUUGUAUUAUUUGUGAUGUAACAUAAAGUGUGUAACCCUCAAUAGUCUAGGGGGCUAUAAUGUAAAUAUGUAUGUCGUAUUGCAAUCAAACGAUUGCAACAAUAAUUGUAACCGGCUCUCUUGAGCCUAUAAAUAGGGCAUUUGCCCAUAUGAAAUAAACAAGUUAAGUUUGAGUGUUUAAGACUUGAGUUGAUCUCAAUUGUCUUCUCUGUUGAAAUAGUUGUUCUAUUUCUGAAUAGCAGAGUUCUAUCCAAAUUAUCCACAUAAUCAUCCAAUUAUUCAACAUAAUCCAUCAUCAAUAUAAUCCACCACAUCAUUCAGGUAUAAUCUUAUCUUAAUCUUUCUUAAUUCCGUCAUGUUGUUAAAUUUGGUAUCAGAGCCAUUAAUCCGUCACCAUGUUAUUUUGAAUUUGGUAUCAGAGCUAAGUAACGUUCUUACUACUAUUUUGAAUAUUAAAUCUUUCAUUCAUAUGAUAUAUGUUCAUCAUGCAUCAUCAUAUAUAUUCUUAUAAAUAUUCAUCGUUACAAACAUUCAUCGUUAUAAGUUAUAAACUCAUUAUUAAAAUCAAAUAUUAUUAUCCACCUACAAUUUAAACAUAUGUCGGUAGAAGUUUUUUUACAAUUAUGAUUAUGUACCAAGAAGUUAGAAACACAUUUCAUAUGUCAAAAAAGUUUUUAAUUCUCUGACUGCAUCAUAAAUAUAAUAGUAUUAAAAAACCCCACCAUCAACAUCCUAUUAGAAUUUAUAAAUCGUAACUUUGAAAAAAAAAAUAUAAUAAAAAAUAAAUUAUCAUUUUGUUUCUAAAAAUUAUAAUCAUAAGUUUUUCAAGUUUAAAUAUUAACAAAUAAAAAAUCAUGAAAAUAAAAUAACAAGAAUAAUUUAUUUAAUAUGUCUCAAGAAAUAGAAAAUACACCAAUCAUUAUUAAUAACGAAGAAAACGAAUCGGGAUACUCUUUUGAUGCUCUAAUUAAUAAAAAUAAUAUUAAUAAAGAUGCUAUAAGAAAAUCAAAUUUUACACUAUCUGAAAAACAUAAUUUUAGAUAUAACUCAUUGAGAGAAGAUUAUACAUGAAUGAUGUGUUGGAUUAUAUUGAUGAUGGAUUAUGUUGAAUGAUUUGAUGAUUAUGUGGAUAAUUUGGAUAAGGAUCUGCUAUUCAGAAAUAAAACAACUAUUUCAACAGAGAAGACAAUUGUGAUCAACUCAAGUCUUAAACACUCAAACUUAACUUGUUUAUUUCAUAUGGGCAAAGACCCUAUUCAUAGGAUCAAGAGAGUCGGUUACAAUUAUUGUUGCAAUCGUUUGAUUGCACUACGACGUACAUAUUUACAUUAUAGCCCCCUAAACUAUUGAGGGUUACACACUUUAUGUUACAUCACAAAUAAUACAACCGACACUUAAUAAUUAUCCUACCGACACUUCUAUUUAAUUACGUAAAAAUAACAAUCCUUUAUUUAAGACACGUGUCCUUUCAACGUGGAAGGGAUUGUUAUUUUUACGUAAUUAAAUAGAAGUAUCGGUAGGAUAAUUAUUAAGUGUCGGUUGUAUUAUUUGUGAUGUAACAUCAAGUGUGUAACCCUCAAUAGUCUAGGGGCUAUAAUGUAAAUAUAUAUGUCGUAUUGCAAUCAAACGAUUGCAACAAUAAUUGUAACCGGCUCUCUUGAGCAUCAAAAGUGUAUCCCACUUCAUUUUCUUCGUUAAUAAUAAUGAUUGGUGUAUUUUCUUUUUCCUGAGACAUAUUUAAUAAAUUAUUCUUGUUAUUUUAUCUUCAAGAUUUUUUAUUUGUUAAUAUUUAAACUUGAAAAACUCAUGAUUAUAAUUUUUAGAAACAAAAUGAUAAUUUAUUUUUUCUUUCAAAGUUACGAUUUAUCAAUUCUAAUAAGAUGUUGAUGGUGGGGUUUUCUAAUACUAUUAUAUUUAUGAUGCAGUUAGAGAAUUAAAAACCUCUUUGACAUAUGAAAUGUGUUUCUAACUUCUUGGUACAUAGUCAUAAUUGUAAAAACUCUUCUACCGACAUAUGUUUAAAUUGUAGGUGGAUAGUAGUAUUUGAUUUUAAUAAUGAGUUUAUGAUAACAACUUAUAACGAUGAAUUAUUGUAACGAUGAAUAUAUUGGAAUAGUGUCUAAGGCUGCAACUAUAUUAGGCAAAUAUUUGACCCGGUUGUGCAUGGUCCUUUUGGGUUGCCUUCACCAUAGCAACUUGAUAGGAUGAUUUAUUAUGAGAGAGUAAAUAUUAUUAAUAUAUUAUGAGAAUAAUAUAAAGAAUAAUAUAUUGUUAUUUGAUUAAUAUAAGUCAUAGAAUUAAUUGGAAUUAAUUUGGUGACUUAAAGAGAUUAAUUAAAUAAGAGGGUAUAAACUGUCAAUUGUUUGAUAGUUAAACUUUAGACUGUAAAUCCAUAUAGAUAUGGAUUGGACGGAUUCUAGAAGCUAAAGGAUAGCUCAAAUCGUCCAAGAGUUAUCUAAGGAAUGGAUUUGGAUAGCCUUAAGAGAAGAUUAUCCAAUUAGGGUUUAGGUUGUAACCCUUAAGGAGUCUACAAGUAUAAAUAGACCCUAUGGCAAAGGGAAAUCGGCACUUCAUCUAAAGUAAGAGAACCCUGGCCGAUUUCCUCCCCUCUCCUCUCUCCCAAAUCAUCCUCCUUGCUAUUUGGUGUUUGUAAGCCAUUAGAGGAGUGACAAUUGUGACUCUAGAAGCUCCAAGACAACAAGAUCAACAAGGAAUUCAAAGGUAUGAUUCUAGAUCUGUUUCAAUAUUGUUAUUACACCUAAAUAGUCAUUAGAAGUCUUGGAUUCAAAGCAUGUUUAAUUAGAAAGCCUAGAUCCAAGCAUUAGGGUUUUGCAUGCGCACAUAGGAAAGUUCUUAUGGCUAAAACCCAUCAGUGGUAUCAGAGCCUAGCUUGGUUUUCAUUAAAUUGUUGCUUGAUUAACUGAAACAAACCUGCAAAAUUCGAUUUUUUGGUUUCUGAGUCAUGGACUCGGCGAGUUCCAAAGUGGACUCGGCGAGUUGGCCUGACUCGGCGAGUCCUUUUGUGCACUCGGCGAGUCCAGGCGUCAGGAAUGGCCAGAUUCGGGAUUUCUUCAUAAUUAUCUUAUGGAAACUUACCUUAAUCAUAAUAGAUCAAUCUAAAUCCGAUUUUGUUAUAUAUAUGACUAUUAUCUUGAUCUAGUUAAAGGUAUUUAUCAACUAAUAAAAUAUUUAAUUUCCUUAUAUGAUAAUUAAUUAAUUAUUUUAAUUAUUUUGGUAAUUAUCUUUCAAAGAAAUCUUGAAUAAAAUCAAAUAUAGAUAAUUAGGAUAUUAAUUGUUAAUUGGAAUUAUUUGUUAUUUAAUCCUCCAUGUUUUAAAUGUUUAAAACUUGCCCUCAAGUUUUGAAAUUUAUAUUUGUGAUUAAAAGUUUUAAUUUAGACAACUUAAAUUUCAAACCCUAGAUUUUAAGGUAUAAUCUUAUCUUAAUCUUUC
RNAcentral lists this long non-coding RNA (4327 nucleotides) under Lactuca sativa (garden lettuce). RNAcentral's name for it is "long non-coding RNA (LSAT_LNC009687)". The record is from RNAcentral. Lineage: Eukaryota; Viridiplantae; Streptophyta; Magnoliopsida; Asterales; Asteraceae.